Molecule: ribosomal RNA, 253 nt
Filed under: uncultured bacterium
Lineage: Bacteria
Description: partial 16S ribosomal RNA
Rfam family: Bacterial small subunit ribosomal RNA
Source: RNAcentral
UACAGAGGUGGCAAGCGUUGUUCGGAAUUACUGGGCGUAAAGGGCGAGUAGGCGGCCAACUAAGUCAGACGUGAAAUCCCCCGGCUUAACCUGGGAACUGCGUCUGAUACUGGAUGGCUAGAGUUUGGGAGAGGGAUGCAGAAUUCCAGGUGUAGCGGUGAAAUGCGUAGAUAUCUGGAGGAAUACCGGUGGCGAAGGCGGCAUCCUGGACCAACACUGACGCUGAGACGCGAAAGCUAGGGGAGCAAACGGG